AUUCUGGAUCGCGGCUGACUAAUGCACUCUCGACCCAGGACUCAAGCGAUUGCAGCCAGGUGAGAAGCCUGUACGGUAGCAUAUCAACCUUUACAGAAGGAUGUAACCAGCCCCUCGUGAACUGCCCGGAUCCAUGUUGAAUAAGAAGGAAAAUUCAGGACAGGCACACUAGGAGCUACACAGUGGUCCGUCCACUUCAGGAUCCUGCUCUAGUUAUAUCUGCAUCUAGUUACGGCACACGAGUGCUUGUCUCAGGGUCUUUGUUAGUAAACUGUCCAGGGUUCCUCCACCACACGGGUUUGGUUCCUCUCAACCCCAUAUUUCCCCUGACUUUACGAAGUCCUAGAAAAGAAGCCUUUUGGAUGUAGUAGAAGAAAACCACCUGGCCCACAGUCUUAAUGAUAACCACAGUCAAGACACCCACAGCUCAGAUAUUUAUUGAAGACCUACUAUGUCACCCACAAUGCAACACUGCAAAGUAAAAGUUCAGAUAAAUAACUUCCAGCUGGGACGAUUUCUUCAUCAAAAAUAUCUCCUGUUAUUUUUUCCAUAAAAUGACUUUGAAGUUUUAAAGGCAUCACAGUCAAAGCCUUUAGGUGACACUCUGUGAGGGCAUGCCAUGGACUGCCUAAUUGAUAUUUCAGAGGCUUCUACUUCAAGAUGGUGAACUGAGGCCAAGAAUUUGCCUUCCCUCCUUCCUGAGAUCCUUUUGAAAUGAUAGAAAGGAAUUUUUUAAUGAUAAAAUCAAUAAUAGUGAAGAGAAUAGGAGGGGUGCCAUCUUUGAAGAAAUUUCGACAGAUCUCAGGAAGACAGAACGUAUUUGGCAGAAGGUCAGUACGUCAACAGAUAAACCAAGUGGAGGUGUCUUCAGCCCAGAGUACAUGAGGUGAGUGACAAUGGGGGGGACAGUGGAGAAAGGACUACAUCUUAUAGGCAGGACUCCAGGCUUAACCCAAGCCCCCAAAAAUCAAGUUUUCCCUCUGAAGAAAUUCAUUAUUUUGUUUAGUGUGAGUAUUGACAUCCUAAAGUAAGGUUUUCUUGUUCAGGAAUACCCUGGAGAGAAGCUUGCCAGUUGAUAUGACAAGCCCCCCUACGCAGAAACUGACAGCAUUUCUUUCUUCAUUCUUAAAAAUGAGCUGACACCUAAAUAUGAACAAAAAUUUAAAGGAAAAAGAUAAACAGACACAUCAUAAAAUGGUAUUCCUAUUUAUUCAUUCUUAAAAAUUAAUGGACAACUAAGGAAGAACAGAUACUUGUUGGGGGGGGGGGUGGGGAAUAGAAAAGCACACCGUAAGAGAUAGAAUUCAAGAAAACAAAGACUUGAACAGACAUUAUAUCCAGAAGGGAAAACCAGGAAACAAGGAUUUUUUUUUCUUUUAAU
Long non-coding RNA from Felis catus (domestic cat), 1381 nucleotides. RefSeq lists it as uncharacterized. The record is from RefSeq and is a predicted model, not a curated record. Lineage: Eukaryota; Metazoa; Chordata; Mammalia; Carnivora; Felidae. The transcript is spliced from 2 exons.